Molecule: ribosomal RNA, 210 nt
Filed under: uncultured bacterium
Lineage: Bacteria
Description: partial 16S ribosomal RNA
Rfam family: Bacterial small subunit ribosomal RNA
Source: RNAcentral
UGCGUAGGUGGCGAGGUAAGUUUGAUGUGAAAGCUCCGAGCUUAACUCGGAAAUGGCAUUGAAUACUAUCUUGCUAGAGGAUUGAAGAGGGGACUGGAAUUCUCGGUGUAGCAGUGAAAUGCGUAGAUAUCGAGAGGAACACCAGUGGCGAAGGCGAGUCCCUGGGCAAUUCCUGACACUGAGGCACAAAGGACUAGGGGAAGGCAAACA